AUCGCUUCUCGGCCUUUUGGCUAAGAUCAAGUGUAUUAAAUAAAUGUUCAUUGAAUGCUCAUAAUGUUAACUAAGGAUAUUAAUAUUU
Molecule: small RNA, 88 nt
Filed under: Marmota monax (woodchuck)
Lineage: Eukaryota; Metazoa; Chordata; Mammalia; Rodentia; Sciuridae
Source: RNAcentral